GACGAACGCUGGCGGCGUGCCUAAUACAUGCAAGUCGAGCGGACCAAAGGGAGCUUGCUCCUGGAGGUUAGCGGCGAACGGGUGAGUAACACGUGGGCAACCUGCCUGUAAGACUGGGAUAACAUCGAGAAAUCGGUGCUAAUACCGGAUAAUAAAAAGAACUGCAUGGUUCUUUUUUGAAAGAUGGUUUCGGCUAUCACUUACAGAUGGGCCCGCGGCGCAUUAGCUAGUUGGUGGGGUAACGGCUCACCAAGGCGACGAUGCGUAGCCGACCUGACGAGGGUGAUCGGCCACACUGGGACUGAGACACGGCCCAGACUCCUACGGGAGGCAGCAGUAGGGAAUCUUCCGCAAUGGACGAAAGUCUGACGGAGCAACGCCGCGUGAGUGGUGAAGGUUUUCGGAUCGUAAAACUCU
This 417-nucleotide ribosomal RNA is filed under the name uncultured bacterium. RNAcentral's name for it is "bacterial SSU rRNA". It matches the Rfam family "Bacterial small subunit ribosomal RNA", at positions 28 to 434 of the family's 1533-position model. The record is from RNAcentral.